Non-coding RNA from Cinara cedri, 454 nucleotides. The record is from the annotation of a GenBank genome assembly. NCBI's taxonomy places the organism in Eukaryota, Metazoa, Arthropoda, Insecta, Hemiptera, Aphididae.
GUAUAGUUCAAUUUGCUUUUUUGGGUAAGAUUGCAUAAGAAUUUUCUGUAUAAAAAUAUCACGUGCAUUAUUCAAAUAAAGGUUGUAGUAAUUUAUUAGACCUCUUUCGAAACUCAAUUUAUGGUGAAAAGUUUUAGGAAAAGAGCACCGCAAGAUGUAUUUGAGGAGAGCUUCGACAACAAAAUUGCCAUCAGUUUCGAAAGAGGUCUAUUUUAGUACAUUUAUUUUUUAACCAGGCAGUGAAUAAUAUAGUUGUCAAAAAGUUUGGCGGAACCUCUUUAACUAAUUUAAAUAGAGUUGCACAUCUCAUAAAAAAUGAUAUCGAAAGAGGUUAUAAUGUAGUAGUGGUUGUAUCUGCAGCCGCAGGCUUCACUGAUCAAAUGGCCCUNUAUAAAGUAGAGGUAAAUCACUCUAUAAUUGAUGAUAUUUAAAAAUAUAAAUGGCUAUUAUUUUU